RNAcentral lists this ribosomal RNA (209 nucleotides) under uncultured bacterium. RNAcentral describes it as "partial 16S ribosomal RNA". It matches the Rfam family "Bacterial small subunit ribosomal RNA", at positions 1291 to 1500 of the family's 1533-position model. The record is from RNAcentral.
GUUCGGAUUGCAGGCUGCAACCCGCCUGUAUGAAGUUGGAAUCGCUAGUAAUCGCGGAUCAGCAUGCCGCGGUGAAUACGUUCCCGGGCCUUGUACACACCGCCCGUCACACCAUGAGAGUCGGGAACACCCGAAGUCCGUAGCCUAACCGCAAGGGGGCGCGGCCGAAGGUGGGUUCGAUAAUUGGGGUGAAGUCGUAACAAGGUAAC